GGCUGGGAUUCGCUAUUGGAUAGAUGAGUUUGAAGGCUGUGAAAUGGCAGAUCGUUCAUGGGGCAUUGGCGAGGCGUGUUGUUGCUCGAAUUUUCCUUCUCGCCUUGGCUAUUUCGACUGUUCCUUUAUUGCAUAUUUUGACGGGUGCUGAUUUCGGAGUGAUCCCGACGGUGAUCUUUCGCGAUUGUGCUGUGAAGUCUGGUUCUGUGGAAACGAAAGUUUCUCGAGGAUCGUAUUUGUUUCAAGGUCAUUUUCUGAAUCCAAUUUGGGUGCCAUUUGCAUCGAUGCACUGUGAGGAAUCUAUGAAUCUGACGACGAAUGUCGUUGCUGAGUUAAUGGAGAAGAAACUGUUGAAUCAUAGUGCUAAAUCUCUGUGCGUUGGAGAGGGAUCGGGAUCUUCCGUUUUGGCACUGAGGGACAUAGGAUUCAGUGAUGUUAUUGGUGUUGGUCAACGCCGAUUUUUCUCUCUAAGGAGAAAACAAUUCGUUUACGAAUUGGACUUUAAGGAUGGAUA
Molecule: unclassified non-coding RNA, 514 nt
Filed under: Hevea brasiliensis (rubber tree)
Lineage: Eukaryota; Viridiplantae; Streptophyta; Magnoliopsida; Malpighiales; Euphorbiaceae
Source: RNAcentral